Molecule: ribosomal RNA, 302 nt
Filed under: uncultured bacterium
Lineage: Bacteria
Description: partial 16S ribosomal RNA
Rfam family: Bacterial small subunit ribosomal RNA
Source: RNAcentral
GCAGUCGCCACGGUAAUACGAAGGGUGCAAGCGUUAAUCGGAAUUACUGGGCGUAAAGCGCACGCAGGCGGUUUGUUAAGUCAGAUGUGAAAUCCCCGAGCUUAACUUGGGAACUGCAUUUGAAACUGGCAAGCUAGAGUCUUGUAGAGGGGGGUAGAAUUCCAGGUGUAGCGGUGAAAUGCGUAGAGAUCUGGAGGAAUACCGGUGGCGAAGGCGGCCCCCUGGACGAAGACUGACGCUCAGGUGCGAAAGCGUGGGGAGCAAACAGGAUUAGAUACCCGAGUAGUCCCUGUCUCUUAUAA